RNAcentral lists this ribosomal RNA (27 nucleotides) under Botrytis cinerea. RNAcentral describes it as "partial 18S ribosomal RNA". The record is from RNAcentral. Lineage: Eukaryota; Fungi; Ascomycota; Leotiomycetes; Helotiales; Sclerotiniaceae.
GAAGUCGUAACAAGGUUUCCGUAGGUG